This 564-nucleotide long non-coding RNA is filed under the name Castor canadensis (American beaver). RNAcentral's name for it is "lncRNA (ENSCCNG00000028319.1)". The record is from RNAcentral. Lineage: Eukaryota; Metazoa; Chordata; Mammalia; Rodentia; Castoridae.
GUCAACAUGCUCCCUGGAUCUCUUCUACUCUUCCUGUCUUUCCUCCAUCGCCAACACAGACACUUCCUUUUUUAGGACACUAUGUGGGCUGUGUGCUUCUGUGCCCAGGCAAGGACAGCCUGCAGGGUCGCCAGGCCCACAGAGGGAUUCCGAGGACAUCUGCUGAUUCAGAGGACUGAAUGAGGGACUGGUGGACUUUGGAUACAGAGAAGAUGUCAAGAGAGAUCAAGAUUGGGCAGGCACUUCCAUCCCAUGCGUGGAAACCGAUACUCUUUCAAUACCUCUUGAACCCUGGGUCUCCCUUCUAGAGAAAAUGUCUGCUGCAAAGUUGGUUCUCUUCUCCUUCCCAGAUCUAACAAAGGGCCCAUAUGGACAGGAGUUUAUAAUGCUCCACAAAAUUUAGUAUUUCAGCAAUAGGAAAAUAGUUGGUUAAAAUCAGUGUACACAGCACCUGAACUUGUUUGUUUAUUUGUUCAAAACAUGUACAGAGGACAUCAUUGUGCCAGAUCCUGUGACAGUGGAGUGGGGACAGAAGUGAAUAAACAGAGCCUCGAUCCCUUUGCA